RNAcentral lists this long non-coding RNA (206 nucleotides) under Lathyrus oleraceus (garden pea). Its description in RNAcentral is "Pisum sativum (pea) long non-coding RNA (PSAT_LNC012895)". Lineage: Eukaryota; Viridiplantae; Streptophyta; Magnoliopsida; Fabales; Fabaceae. The record is from RNAcentral.
CUCUUUUUAACAUGAGGCCUCCUCUGCCUCCCCACGGUUACUGAAUUAUUUUCUCCCUCCUUCCUCUUGGAGAAACCACCCUCAUACUUCUUGCUAGACGAUGUUUCUUCUUUAGACAGACGUCCUUCACUGACUCCUUCUUUUAACCUCGUCCUCAUGUUUACCGUUUCGUAAUAAAACAAACUCAGCGUUUUCAAGAAGAUCUU